Molecule: ribosomal RNA, 751 nt
Filed under: uncultured Ascomycota
Lineage: Eukaryota; Fungi; Ascomycota
Description: LSU rRNA
Rfam family: Eukaryotic large subunit ribosomal RNA
Source: RNAcentral
GCCCGGCGCACUUUUCUGCUGUCAGGCCAGCAUCGGUUCGGGCGGUCGGAUAAAGGCUUCGGGAAUGUAGCUCCUCUCGAGGAGUGUUAUAGCCCGUUGCGAAAUGCGGCCAGCCUGAACUGAGGUCCGCGCUUCGGCUAGGAUGCUGGCGUAAUGGUUGUAAGCGGCCCGUCUUGAAACACGGACCAAGGAGUCUAACAUCUGUGCGAGUGUUUGAGUGUCAAACCCGUACGCGUAAUGAAAGUGAACGGAGGCGGGAACCCCUCGGGGUGCACCGUCGACCGAUCCUGAUGUCUUCGGAUGGAUUUGAGUAAGAGCAUAGCUGUUGGGACCCGAAAGAUGGUGAACUAUGCCUGAAUAGGGUGAAGCCAGAGGAAACUCUGGUGGAGGCUCGCAGCGGUUCUGACGUGCAAAUCGAUCGUCAAAUUUGGGCAUAGGGGCGAAAGACUAAUCGAACUAUCUAGUAGCUGGUUCCUGCCGAAGUUUCCCUCAGGAUAGCAGUAACGUUUUCAGUUUUAUGAGGUAAAGCGAAUGAUUAGAGGCCUGGGGGUUGAAACAACCUUCACCUAUUCUCAAACUUUAAAUAUGUAAGAAGUCCUUGUUGCUUAGUUGAACGUGGACAUUUGAAUGUAUCGUUACUAGUGGGCCAUUUUUGGUGAGCAGAACUGGCGAUGCGGGAUGAACCGAACGCGGAGUUAAGGUGCCGGAAUGCACGCUCAUCAGACACCACAAAAGGUGUUAGUUCAUCUAG